Molecule: transfer RNA, 57 nt
Filed under: Ascaridia sp. GHL-2013
Lineage: Eukaryota; Metazoa; Nematoda; Chromadorea; Rhabditida; Ascaridiidae
Description: tRNA-Phe
Source: RNAcentral
AUCUUUGUAGUUUAGUGUUAAAAUGUGAUUUUGAAGUGAUCGAGAGAAUUGGAGAUG